RNAcentral lists this ribosomal RNA (432 nucleotides) under uncultured bacterium. RNAcentral describes it as "partial 16S ribosomal RNA". It matches the Rfam family "Bacterial small subunit ribosomal RNA", at positions 29 to 506 of the family's 1533-position model. The record is from RNAcentral.
AACGAACGCUGGCGGCAUGCCUAACACAUGCAAGUCGAACGAGACCUUCGGGUCUAGUGGCGCACGGGUGCGUAACGCGUGGGAACCUGCCCUUAGGUUCGGAAUAACUCGCCGAAAGGGGUGCUAAUACCGGAUAAUGUCUUCGGACCAAAGAUUUAUCGCCUUUGGAUGGGCCCGCGUUGGAUUAGCUAGUUGGUAGGGUAAAAGCCUACCAAGGCGAAGAUCCAUAGCUGGUCUGAGAGGAUGAUCAGCCACACUGGGACUGAGACACGGCCCAGACUCCUACGGGAGGCAGCAGUGGGGAAUAUUGGACAAUGGGCGAAAGCCUGAGCCAGCAAUGCCGCGUGAGUGAUGAAGGCCUUAGGGUUGUAAAGCUCUUUUACCCGGGAUGAUAAUGACAGUACCGGGAGAAUAAGCUCCGGCUAACUCCGU